GAUUAAGUUAUUAAGGGCGCACGGUGGAUGCCUUGGCACUAGAAGCCGAUGAAGGACGUUACUAACGACGAUAUGCUUUGGGGAGCUGUAAGUAAGCUUUGAUCCAGAGAUUUCCGAAUGGGGAAACCCAGCAUGAGUUAUGUCAUGUUAUCGAUAUGUGAAUACAUAGCAUAUCAGAAGGCACACCCGGAGAACUGAAACAUCUUAGUACCCGGAGGAAGAGAAAGAAAAUUCGAUUCCCUUAGUAGCGGCGAGCGAAACGGGAAGAGCCCAAACCAACAAGCUUGCUUGUUGGGGUUGUAGGACACUCUAUACGGAGUUACAAAGGACGACAUUAGACGAAUCAUCUGGAAAGAUGAAUCAAAGAAGGUAAUAAUCCUGUAGUCGAAAAUGUUGUCUCUCUUGAGUGGAUCCUGAGUACGACGGAGCACGUGAAAUUCCGUCGGAAUCUGGGAGGACCAUCUCCUAAGGCUAAAUACUCUCUAGUGACCGAUAGUGAACCAGUACCGUGAGGGAAAGGUGAAAAGCACCCCGGAAGGGGAGUGAAAUAGAACCUGAAACCGUGUGCUUACAAGUAGUCAGAGCCCGUUAAUGGGUGAUGGCGUGCCUUUUGUAGAAUGAACCGGCGAGUUACGAUUUGAUGCAAGGUUAAGCAGUAAAUGUGGAGCCGUAG
RNAcentral lists this ribosomal RNA (673 nucleotides) under Staphylococcus aureus. RNAcentral's name for it is "partial 23S ribosomal RNA". It matches the Rfam family "Bacterial large subunit ribosomal RNA", at positions 1 to 671 of the family's 2925-position model. The record is from RNAcentral. Lineage: Bacteria; Bacillati; Bacillota; Bacilli; Caryophanales; Staphylococcaceae.